This 254-nucleotide ribosomal RNA is filed under the name uncultured bacterium. RNAcentral describes it as "partial 16S ribosomal RNA". It matches the Rfam family "Bacterial small subunit ribosomal RNA", at positions 524 to 776 of the family's 1533-position model. The record is from RNAcentral.
UACGAAGGGGGCUAGCGUUGUUCGGAAUUACUGGGCGUAAAGCGCACGUAGGCGGAUACUUAAGUCAGGGGUGAAAUCCCGGGGCUCAACCCCGGAACUGCCUUUGAUACUGGGUAUCUCGAGUCCGGAAGAGGUGAGUGGAAUUCCGAGUGUAGAGGUGAAAUUCGUAGAUAUUCGGAAGAACACCAGUGGCGAAGGCGGCUCACUGGACCGGCUAUUGACGCUGAGGUGCGAAAGCGUGGGGAGCAAACAGG